Molecule: ribosomal RNA, 308 nt
Filed under: uncultured archaeon
Lineage: Archaea
Description: bacterial SSU rRNA
Rfam family: Archaeal small subunit ribosomal RNA
Source: RNAcentral
CGGUUUAGUAAGUUCCUGGUAAAACCGGGCAGCUUAACUGUCCGUAUGCUAGGAAUACUGCUAUGCUAGAGGGCGGGAGAGGUCUGAGGUACUACAGGGGUAGGGGUGAAAUCUUAUAAUCCUUGUAGGACCACCAGUGGCGAAAGCGUCAGACUGGAACGCGCCUGACGGUGAGGGACGAAAGCCAGGGGAGCGAACCGGAUUAGAUACCCGGGUAGUCCUGGCCGUAAACGAUGCAUACUAGGCAAUGGUGCGGCUAUGAGCCGCAUCAGUACCGUAGGGAAACCGUUAAGUGUGCCGCCUGGGAA